Molecule: ribosomal RNA, 252 nt
Filed under: uncultured bacterium
Lineage: Bacteria
Description: partial 16S ribosomal RNA
Rfam family: Bacterial small subunit ribosomal RNA
Source: RNAcentral
UACGGAGGAUGCGAGCGUUAUCCGGAUUUAUUGGGUUUAAAGGGUGCGUAGGCGGGAUGCCAAGUCAGCGGUCAAAUACGGGGGCUCAACCUGCGUCCGCCGUUGAAACUGGCGUUCUUGAGUGGGCGAGAAGUACGCGGAAUGCGUGGUGUAGCGGUGAAAUGCAUAGAUAUCACGCAGAACCCCGGUUGCGAAGGCAGCGUACCGGCGCCCAACUGACGCUGAAGCACGAAAGCGUGGGUAUCGAACAGG